This 440-nucleotide ribosomal RNA is filed under the name uncultured bacterium. Its description in RNAcentral is "partial 16S ribosomal RNA". It matches the Rfam family "Bacterial small subunit ribosomal RNA", at positions 338 to 795 of the family's 1533-position model. The record is from RNAcentral.
CCUACGGGAGACAGCAGUGGGGAAUAUUGCACAAUGGGGGGAACCCUGAUGCAGCGACGCCGCGUGAGUGAAGAAGUAUUUCGGAUUGUAAACUCCUUUUGUUAGAGAAGAUAAUGACGGUAUCUAACGAAUAAGCACCGGCUAACUCCGUGCCAGCAGCCGCGGUAAUACGGAGGGUGCAAGCGUUACUCGGAAUCACUGGGCGUAAAGAGCGCGUAGGCGGGAUAGCAAGUCAGAUGUGAAAUCCUAUGGCUUAACCAUAGAACUGCAUUUGAAACUGUUAUUCUAGAGUAUGGGAGAGGUAGGUGGAAUUCUUGGUGUAGGGGUAAAAUCCGUAGAGAUCAAGAGGAAUACUCAUUGCGAAGGCGACCUGCUAGAACAUAACUGACGCUGAUGCGCGAAAGCGUGGGGAGCAAACAGGAUUAGAUACCCGGGUAGUC